Molecule: ribosomal RNA, 468 nt
Filed under: uncultured bacterium
Lineage: Bacteria
Description: partial 16S ribosomal RNA
Rfam family: Bacterial small subunit ribosomal RNA
Source: RNAcentral
GACGAACGCUGGCGGCGUGCUUAACACAUGCAAGUCGAACGGAAAGGCCCUGCUUUUGUGGGGUGCUCGAUUGGCGAACGGGUGAGUAACACGUGAGUAACCUGCCCUUGACUUUGGGAUAACUUCAGGAAACUGGGGCUAAUACCGGAUAGGAGCUCCUGCUGCAUGGUGGGGGUUGGAAAGUUUCGGCGGUUGGGGAUGGACUCGCGGCUUAUCCGCUUGUUGGUGGGGUAGUGGCUUACCAAGGCUUUGACGGGUAGCCGGCCUGGGAGGGUGACCGGGCACAAUGGUACUACGGUACGGCGCAGACUCGUACGGGAGGCAGCAGUGGGGAGUAUGACACAGUGGGCGGAAGCCUGAGGCAGAAGCGCCGCGUGCGGGAUGACGGCUUUCGGGUUGUAAACCGCUUUCGCCUGUGACGAAGCGUGAGUGACGGUAAUGGGUAAAGAAGCACCGGCUAACUACGUG